RNAcentral lists this ribosomal RNA (500 nucleotides) under uncultured bacterium. RNAcentral describes it as "bacterial SSU rRNA". It matches the Rfam family "Bacterial small subunit ribosomal RNA", at positions 899 to 1397 of the family's 1533-position model. The record is from RNAcentral.
ACUCAAAUGAAUAGACGGGGACCCGCACAAGCAGCGGAGCAUGUGGUUUAAUUCGAAGCAACGCGAAGAACCUUACCAAGGCUUGACAUCCCCUUGACCGGCACAGAGAUGUGCCCUCUCCUUCGGGAGCAAGGGUGACAGGUGGUGCAUGGUUGUCGUCAGCUCGUGUCGUGAGAUGUUGGGUUAAGUCCCGCAACGAGCGCAACCCUUAUCUUUAGUUGCCAGCAUUUAAGGUGGGCACUCUAAAGAGACUGCCGAUGAUAAAUCGGAGGAAGGUGGGGAUGACGUCAAAUCAUCAUGCCCCUUAUGUCUUGGGCUACACACGUGCUACAAUGGUCGGCACAACGGGGAGCGAAGGAGUGAUCUGGAGCAAAUCCCAAUAAACCGAUCCCAGUUCGGAUUGUAGGCUGCAACUCGCCUACAUGAAGUCGGAGUUGCUAGUAAUCGCGAAUCAGAACGUCGCGGUGAAUGCGUUCCCGGGUCUUGUACACACCGCCCGU